RNAcentral lists this long non-coding RNA (268 nucleotides) under Elaeis guineensis (African oil palm). RNAcentral describes it as "long non-coding RNA (EGUI_LNC077395)". Lineage: Eukaryota; Viridiplantae; Streptophyta; Magnoliopsida; Arecales; Arecaceae. The record is from RNAcentral.
GAGACUCCUCGAUAAAUGAUCCCCAUCCGAGCUUCUAUGAAGAUCGGACUCCGACCGAACUUCGACCGAUAGGCCUGGACCCCCUAGCAGGCCGCAGUAACAGCCACGACUCUGCUCCACUUCCUGCAACAGAUUCCGUGCGGCUCCAUCACUCCUUGGUAGACCACAAUAAUGGCCACGAUCCUGCUCCACUUCCUGCGAUGGAUACCACACGGUUCCUCCACCCUUUGGCAAGUUGCGACAACGGACGUCGCUCCACUCCCCGCAA